RNAcentral lists this ribosomal RNA (245 nucleotides) under uncultured Prevotella sp. Its description in RNAcentral is "partial 16S ribosomal RNA". It matches the Rfam family "Bacterial small subunit ribosomal RNA", at positions 524 to 768 of the family's 1533-position model. Lineage: Bacteria; Pseudomonadati; Bacteroidota; Bacteroidia; Bacteroidales; Prevotellaceae. The record is from RNAcentral.
UACGGAAGGUCCGGGCGUUAUCCGGAUUUAUUGGGUUUAAAGGGAGCGCAGGCGGUGUGCUAAGCGUGACGUGAAAUGCCGGGGCUCAACCUUGGAAUUGCGUCGCGAACUGGCGCACUUGAGUGCACUCGAGGCAGGCGGAAUUCGUGGUGUAGCGGUGAAAUGCUUAGAUAUCACGAGGAACCCCGAUUGCGAAGGCAGCCUGCCGGUGUGUUACUGACGCUCAUGCUCGAAGGUGCGGGUAU